This 572-nucleotide ribosomal RNA is filed under the name Rhodotorula mucilaginosa. RNAcentral describes it as "eukaryotic LSU rRNA". It matches the Rfam family "Eukaryotic large subunit ribosomal RNA", at positions 81 to 668 of the family's 3401-position model. Lineage: Eukaryota; Fungi; Basidiomycota; Microbotryomycetes; Sporidiobolales; Sporidiobolaceae. The record is from RNAcentral.
UAGUAGCGGCGAGCGAAGCGGGAAGAGCUCAAAUUUAUAAUCUGGCACCUUCGGUGUCCGAGUUGUAAUCUCUAGAAAUGUUUUCCGCGUUGGACCGCACACAAGUCUGUUGGAAUACAGCGGCAUAGUGGUGAGACCCCCGUAUAUGGUGCGGACGCCCAGCGCUUUGUGAUACAUUUUCGAAGAGUCGAGUUGUUUGGGAAUGCAGCUCAAAUUGGGUGGUAAAUUCCAUCUAAAGCUAAAUAUUGGCGAGAGACCGAUAGCGAACAAGUACCGUGAGGGAAAGAUGAAAAGCACUUUGGAAAGAGAGUUAACAGUACGUGAAAUUGUUGGAAGGGAAACGCUUGAAGUCAGACUUGCUUGCCGAGCAAUCGGUUUGCAGGCCAGCAUCAGUUUUCCGGGAUGGAUAAUGGUAGAGAGAAGGUAGCAGUUUCGGCUGUGUUAUAGCUCUCUGCUGGAUACAUCUUGGGGGACUGAGGAACGCAGUGUGCCUUUUGGCGGGGGUUUCGACCUCUUCACACUUAGGAUGCUGGUGGAAUGGCUUUAAACGACCCGUCUUGAAACACGGACCA